GUCGCACCUACCGAUUGGAUGGUCCGGUGAAGCCUCGGGAUUGUGACCGGUGCCUUUAUUGGUGUCGGUCGCGAGAACUUGUCUAAACCUUAUCAUCUAGAGGAAGGUG
RNAcentral lists this ribosomal RNA (109 nucleotides) under uncultured eukaryote. Its description in RNAcentral is "partial small subunit ribosomal RNA". It matches the Rfam family "Eukaryotic small subunit ribosomal RNA", at positions 1675 to 1785 of the family's 1831-position model. The record is from RNAcentral.